UGGGGAAUAUUGCACAAUGGAGGGAACUCUGAUGCAGCGACGCCGCGUGAACAAAGAAGGCUUUCGAGUCGUAAAGUUCUUUUAUAUGGGAAGAUAAUGACGGUACCAUAAGAAAAAGCCCCGGCUAACUACGUGCCAGCAGCCGCGGUAAUACGUAGGGGGCUAGCGUUGUCCGGAAUCACUGGGCGUAAAGGGUUCGCAGGCGGAAAUGCAAGUCAGGUGUAAAAGGCAGUAGCUUAACUACUGUAAGCAUUUGAAACUGCAUAUCUUGAGAAGAGUAGAGGUAAGUGGAAUUUUUAGUGUAGCGGUGAAAUGCGUAGAUAUUAAAAAGAAUACCGGUGGCGAAGGCGACUUACUGGGCUCAUUCUGACGCUGAGGAACGAAAGCGUGGGUAGCAAACAGG
RNAcentral lists this ribosomal RNA (403 nucleotides) under bacterium. RNAcentral's name for it is "partial 16S ribosomal RNA". It matches the Rfam family "Bacterial small subunit ribosomal RNA", at positions 355 to 776 of the family's 1533-position model. RNAcentral also lists the same sequence under 2 other names. The record is from RNAcentral.